RNAcentral lists this long non-coding RNA (43651 nucleotides) under Nicotiana benthamiana. RNAcentral describes it as "long non-coding RNA (NBEN_LNC011772)". The record is from RNAcentral. Lineage: Eukaryota; Viridiplantae; Streptophyta; Magnoliopsida; Solanales; Solanaceae.
UCGUGAAAGUGUCACAUUUAGAUUGUUCUUAUUAAAGGAAAGAGCCGAAUAGACAAAGGGUUUACAUGACCGCUCGCUUUGGACAAGAUGCCAUAGUAUAAGAAGAAGGCCUUUGUUUGCAAAGAUGACUUUCCCGCUUUCCUUUGUGAGGGAGGUUUGUGCACAUGAAUUAAUAUUCAAAGCAUAAGGAAGAUGGCAUAGAGCAUAGAAUGAGAUUGAUGCUUCGAACGCCCAGUUUUCAGGGGUUGUGAUAAAAAGAGUUGUGGCUCUUUCGGAAGGGGGAAUCAUACUAGGCUGUCACUGUUCUAGAAGAGGAAGCGUAGCUGGCACGUUGAACCAUGUCUGUCAAUGGUGAAAGAUAGCCCUAAAGUGAGGGCCCCGGAGAUAGUAUUUCUCAUUUGUCGAUCGACGUGACAAUCAUGCCUGCUUGACAAAGCCUUUUUCAUUCAGUCUCCCAAUAAACAUAGAAGGAUUUCUGGUUACACGAAUGCUGUGCUCGACGCUCUCUUUCCUAUUCCACUGCGCUAAGUGGUCUUUCCCUUUCUUGCUAGAUGACUACUAUGGAAAAAGAUGACAACUACUCCCAGUCUCUGGUCAACCCAUGCUGAUGCUAGAAGAGCUAUUCCCGCCGCCCACCCGAAAGAGAUGAGGAAGACUAACCACCAUCCUGCUCGAACCUUGGCUGCCUGAGUUAUAUAGCUGACUGCGAGAAGGAAGGUUCAAGCUAUGGCUGCCCCAUGGGAUGCUCGUUUUAAACCUUUGUCCGAUCAAUGCGAGAAAGAGAGAAGUGAUGUAAACAUAAGAAUGGAAGGUUUGCUUGUCAGUUGUCGGGCCAAUGAGGCUCUUCUAUCUUUGCAUACACAGCAAGGGAAAGAUCAAAGGCGAGGUGGGAAAUGCCCCGCACGGACUAUCUGAUCAUGUUUCUAUCAGAGGCAGCUGGCAAAGCCGUGUUUGAUCAUCGCGUACAUGCUCUGUUACAGCUUCGUUCAUGCGCCAAUCAAUUGACAGUGAAGCAGAGAAGGAAGAGUUUUGAAUUAAUUAAGAUAUAGGGAAAGGCCAAGGCCGUUACAGCUUCGUUCAUGCGCCAAUCAAUUGACAGUGAAGCAGAGAAGGAAGAGUUUUGAUCACCGUGUGGGUAGUCUCUAUUAGGGUUUCCUUUCUUUCGGGGCCAUUUCCUUCGCCCUUUCUUCUUAGUCUGAGGCAUCUCCCUCUCGUCCUAUUGUGGUAAGUUAACCGUAUAGUCUUGGAAGUUAGGGUUUUGCAAUCAUUCCAAUACCUCUAGUCUUGAAAGUUUCAUUAAUCCAUUUUGCUAUCAUUCUAGUUGUUAGUGAAGUGACUGCCUGAUGUUCGAUCCUGUAACUCGCACCGCAGCCAAUGAAUGUCCUGAAUUCGGACAAAGGGAGUAAGGUAAUUCAUCAUCAACCAAGGCAGGAAUCGUCAGAGUAUUGUAUUGCCCUCCAAUAGGACUAUACAGAGCAGUGGAAGGUCAGAAUCUAGUGAAUCUAUCUUUAGAGUGUAGCCCCGCAUCUUACCCAUCAUGUAAUGACAGUGUGCCUUCACCUCAUGAUCUUAGAGCUCCGAUUGCGCCUUCUGUAUCUGUAACUGUAAGUGUAUAUGUAUACACUAAUUUAUAUGUGGGCUCCACUUCGGGAAGACGAGUUGACUCCACAAAGCAGAAAAUUAUUGCCUCGGAUAUUCCAUUAACGGUUACCUAGCCCAGGAAAGGAAAAGAAAGGGCAAUCUGCUAGAGGCACCUUACUAUUCCUUGCCGCAACGUAUCCCAGGUUGGCUACCUUUCCCUUGCGAAAUCCUAGGAGACUCUUGCUUGUAGGCGUAAGGAAGAUUUCUGAUUCACCGCUUGGACCUAAAAACAAUCUACUAAAGGUCUUCCGAUUCUGCUGCGGGUAUUUUAUUUUCUUGGAUCUUAUCGAUCUAUGCCCUUUUGGUCUAUGGGGUAUCCCCCUUUUCCGCUUUUCUUUCUUUCAUCUUCCUAAUUCCUCAGGUAAGCUUCAUGCCAGUCUGACUAAGGUAAGGGGGGAAGACCUCAUUUCGUCAUUCAUAUCUAUUCGUCUUAGCCCUGCUUCGGCGAUUCAAUCCGACAUUUCAUACCUUUCCCUUGCGAAAUCCUAGGAGACUCUUGCUUGUAGGUGUAAGGAAGAUUUCUGAAGCACUACUUGGACCUAAAAACAAUCUACUAAAGGUCUUCUGAUUCUGCUGCAGGUAUUUUAUUUUCUUGGAUCUUAUCGAUCAAUGCCCUUUUGGUCUAUGGGGUAUCCCCCUUUUCCAUUUUUCUUUCUUUCAUCUUCCUAAUUCCUCAGGUAAGCUUCAUGCCAGUCUGACUAAGGUAAGGGGGGAAGACCUCAUUUCGUCAUUCAUAUCUAUUCGUCUUAGCCCUCCUUCGGCGAUUCAAUCUGACAUUUCAUUUCCCCCUUCAUCAUUUGAUUUUUCGCAUCUAAGAACUGAUCUUGCAAAAGGAGUACAAUGUGAUAACAAGUGAUUUGUGAUCAAUAAAAAGUACCACCGGAUUCUGUACCCUUCAGUCUUGGAUCCUCACCUUGGACAGUUUCAUUUGGUUAUGAAAGAAAGGCUUUAUCCCUAGCGUUAAGGUCUCUAUCAAGCACUCUUCUAAAGCUGUCUUCAAGCCCUCAUAUUCAACUCGCUGCCUCAUCCACAUAGCAUGAACUCGCUCGAAGUGCUUUCUCCUACUAUGGUGGAGUUUACCAAGAACUCUAAACGUUCGGAGCGCCGGUUCUGUUUCAGAAGAAGCAUGAUGGCAGUUUAAGGUUUUGCAUCGAUUAUAGAGCGCUGAACAAAGUGACCAUCAAGAACAAGUACCUUAUGCCUCUUAUUGCAGACCUGCCGGUUCUAUUUAAGAAGAAGCAUGAUGGCAGUUUAAGGUUUUGCAUCGAUUAUAUCGCGCUGAACAAAGUGACCAUCAAGAACAAGUACCUUAUGCCUCUUAUUGCAGACCUUUUUGAUCACUUGAGUGGAGCAUGAUACUUCACGAAGUUUGAUUUGCGGUUGAGGUAUUAUCAAGUGCGUAUUGCCGAGGGUGAACAUAUUUCUUUUCUCUUGUGUUGGCUCUGCAAGUUCCUGCUGUGCAUCCCUGCCUCCGAGUGCCAUUCCUAGAUUCCUUGAGCUCUUCCCAAGAUCGGAAAGUACUUCCACUAUUCCCAUUAGUCAUCUAAACAUCCUAUUGUGACAGCCCACCAUACCAGCCAAUUUUGUUGGAGCACCUUCCGAAGUCCGCCCUCAGGUGUGUGUUCACAUUCGGUAUUGUCCCCAAUAUCUUCAUGGCUCCCCCAUGUGCGGCCACCACACAACCCACAAUGCCAAGGCCCACGAUGGAUCUGUCAGCUUUUAUAUUCCAAACCCCCACUUACCAAGCUGAGCCUCCUCCAUACCCCACCUAACUUUAUCCUCAACCACCAUAUGAUCUUACACCAUUACAAGAUAAAACUCCCAAAGUUCCUGAACAAGAUGAUAUGGCAAUAGUAUACAGACCUGUAUGGGAUUUAAAACAACAAAGUUCAAAAAGUAUGAUGGUCAUGGCGAUCACAUUGCUCACCUAAAGAAGUAUUGCAACCAAUUACGCGGAGCGGGUGAAAAGAAGAGUUGUUGAUGACGUACAUCAGAGAAAGCUUAGUGGGCAUUUCUUUAGGGUGGUAUAUGGACCAAGAUGUCUUACGAUGGCACAUUUGGGGCGAUCUUGCCAGAGAUUUUGUGAGGCAAUUUCAAUACAACAAUUACCUCGCACCCGACAGGAAAUCUUUGGCAAAUUUGAAGAAGUAACCUUCAGAGAGUUUCAGAGAAUCAAGGGUGAAGCCGUCCAUGGAUGAAAUAGAAAUGGUCACUGUUUUCCUCCGGGUCCAGGAAGUGGAUUACUUUCAAAACAUGAUGUCGGCCAUGGGCAAGCCGUUUGCAUAAGCAAUCAAGAUUGGCAAAAUGGUAGGAAACUGUUUAAAAACAGGACAACUUUUGAGUUAGUCGGCCAUCACAGCAACUUCCCAGGCCAUCCAAGGUGGGGCGGGAGGAGUCACAAGGAACAAAAAGAAAGAAGAAACCUCAAUGGCAGAAUCAUGCAUGAGAAGGCAUCAUGCUCCUAGGCCCAUGUUCUUCGGAAGAACCCCUCAACUCUAUUAUCCUCUCGAAGACAUGUCUUAUACUCCCUAGCCUUAUGCGGUUAUGAACGCUCAACCAUUUGCACGAUCGCAGUAGUAGGACAACAGGAACCAGGCUCCGAGAAAUUAGCCUCCCCAAAACCACUAUAAUCCCCGCCUUCCUCAAAACAACUUCCGUCCCAGGGAGUCAACUACCAAGAAGGGAAAACUUUACGCCAAUCGGGGAGUCCUAUUCUAGCCUGUUCCCAAAACUUGUCCAGUUGGGUUUGUUGCAGCCGAUACCCUCCAAUAGACAAAACCGCGAAUCGCCUUCCUACCAAUGGGUGCUCGGGGUGCUUAUCAUUCAGGGGCUGAAGGACAUGCCACAAAAAGUUGUUAGACUCUGAAGCGAGCUAUGGAAGAUCUAAUAGAGCAAAGGAAAAUAAUGUUGAGGGAUGAAGAUGUUUCGAAUGUGACUACCAACUCGUUGCCGGCCCACAACAAUGGACCAGUAAUCGGGAUGAUCUGUGAGGAAAAAGAAUUCGACCUGCCUUUGAAAGCCAUAAUCGCCAUUACCGACGCGGAUAAAAAGCCAAGAGCCGCCUCCCAGAAAUCUGAAGAGGAAAAGAAGAAUAAAACUAUGCAUCCUGAAACUGAUAAGAAGGUUUAGGUUAAAACAGAGGCGACACUUGUCAAAGAAACUGUCCUUUAUGUCCCACGGGGUCGUCGGGAAAAGCAGUUGACCUUGAUUCCUUCUAAGAGAUUUGAGUUGAACAGGACUAUGUACGUACCCAAUGGAACCUACAUGGUGCGGGGGCCAACUAAUCUGCCAACGCUGAGUGAUCCUGUGGUGGUUGGUCGCACACCUCACAUGCAUAUGACAGACCCUUCUACAGUCCCUUGGAACUAUUAGGAAAUGGUAGUGACAUAUAAAGGCAAAGAAAUCUCUGGAGAAACUCAUGAAAACUACCCUGUGAAGAAAUAGUCUUACUUGGAGGAAGUGGACAGUGCCACCAAGAAGCGAUUCCGACCCAAGAAGUCAGUAAGCGCCAAUGAGGUGGAAGUUUUCUUUCAAAAGAUGAAAAUGCCAAACUAUGAAGUAGUGGACCAGCUUCGGAAUUCCCCUGAACAAGUCUCCUUACUAUCCUUGCUGAUGGAAUCUCCUGAGCACCAGAAGGUAUUAGACAAAACUCUCAAUGAGGCAUAUGUGCCAACUCAAACCUCUGUAGAACAAUUGGAGAGGAUGGCUGAAAGAUUCUUCGCCGUCAAUCAGAUCACAUUUAGUAAAAAUGACUUGCCUCCAGAAGGAGCUGCCCACAAUAAAGCCCUGCAUAUAACUGUCAAAUGCGAAGGCUACUAUGUCAAAAGGGUAAUGGUAGACAGAGGCUCUAGGGUGGACAUAGGCCCACUCUCAACAUUACAGAGAAUGGAAAUCAUGACGGAGAGGAUUCGCCCCAAUAAUGUAUGUGUUCGAGCUUUCGAUGGAAUCAAAAGAGACACAAUUGGAGAGAUUUAUUUGGUCUUGACAAUUGGCCCAGUUUAUUUUGAGGUAACCUUUCAUGUGUUAGACAUGGACACAUCGUAUAAUUACCUCCUGGGAAGGCCAUGGAUUCACCUAGCAGGAGUCGUGCCUUCUACUCUGCACCAGAUGUUUAAAUUUGGACAUGAGAACCAAGAAAUCGUGGUCCAUGGUGAAGAUGAACAGUCAAUUUAUAGUCAUCCCUCCGUCCCCUGCCACGAAGCUAAAGAAGGUAGUGCGAAUAUCGUCUAUCAGGCUUUUGAAAUUCUGGUGGCUGAUCAGCAUGAAGAUGGCCAACCCUUUCCCCAACCUUUCCUCUCCAAUGCCUCAAUCAUGGUGGCGAGAGAGAUGAUAUGACAAGGAUUCAAACCGGGGAAGGGACUCGACAGGUAUUUACAAGGGAUAGCUGAGCCGAUUGCGUUGCCCACUACAGAGAUGUUUUUUGGGCUAGGCUUCCACCCAACACCAGAGGAUAUAACAUGGACGAACUAUAGAAAGCAUGAUGGAUGGGCUUUACCUCAACACCUUCCGCACUUGUAUGAAACAUUUGUGAUGCCAAAUUACAGUGAGGAAGAAGAAGAUGAGACCUGGACAACUGAAGAAAUCGAGGAAAUAUGUAGGGCCAUGAGAAAACUAUUUGUAUGAAACCCACAUGGUCCUGUUGGGAGAAGGCUCGAGCAUUGCUGAGGUGCUAUACAUCGGAUCAGACGCCAAAUUGCAAAAUUGGAAGGCUACGCCAUUUUCAAUCAAGAGGGAGGCCGGUAGUCCCGUCUUGCCAUCUUCUCAACUUUACGAGUUAUCUUAGGGUGUAACUCGGAUGUUUUCCAUUAGUGUUUUGUCCUUUUAAUUUUUCAAGUGUAAACCCUAUACUCUUACAAUUCCAAAGAAAUGAAAUCAAUAUUUCUUCGUCUAUAUUCCUUUAUUCUUUCUCAUUUUGUUUUUUCCUUUUAUUCAUUUCUUUUAGUUCUAAUAAUGCGGCUUUAAAUAACAUGACAUGCUCGCGGACUUCAUGCCCCGACCCAAACAUGCCGCCUAAUUGUGAAAUAACGAACCAAGAAUCAGAGUACGACGAAGAAGAGGCUUUUAGGGAAUUCAAUCGAGAACUGGAACAUUUCAAAAAUAAUCCUAAGCCAAAUCUAAACAAUACCAAACCGAUUAACUUGGGAGGUCCCGGUGAAACCAGGGAUACUAAAAUAGGUGUCCAUGAAAAUGAGAAAAUCGGGGACGCACUGAUCUAACUCUUGUUUGAAUUUAAUGAUGUGUUUGAUUGGUCAUACAAUGAUAUGCCAGGGCUGAGUGUUGAUUUGGUGGUUCAUAAGUUUCCUACCUACGCUGAAUGCCCUCCAGUCCAACAAAACAAGAGAAUGUUCAAGCAUGAUAUCCGUGAUAAGAUCAAAGAAGAGAUGACAAAACAGUUAGGACGGGAGUAAUCCGAGUGGUCCGGUACACCAUAUGGCUGGCCAAUAUAGUCCCGGUAUCAAAGAAAGACGGGAAAACUCGAGUGUGUUUGGAUUACAGAGGUAUGAACAAGGCAAGUCCCAAAGAUAACUCCCUUAACCCAAUAUCCACAUCCUUGUUGAUAACUGUGCCAAACACGAGAUACAAUCUUUCAUGGACUGCUACGCGGGAUAUCACUAGGUGUUGAUGGAUGAGAAAGAUGCCGAGAAAACAACCUUUACCACACCUUGGGGUACUUAUUGCUACAAGGUUAUGCGUUUCGGUUUAAAGAAUACCGGGGCAGCAUAUAUGAGGGAUAUGACCACUUUCUUCAGCGACAUGAUGCAUCAGGAGAUAGAAGUAUAUGUGGACGACGUGAUUAUCAAGUCAAAGACUCAAGGUGAUCAUGUGUGGAACCUAAGAACGUUUUUUGAAAAGCUGCACAAGUAAAAUGCUCAUUUGGAGUCCCAACGGGCAAACUUUUGGGGUUCACAGUCAGCAGGAGGGGUAUUGAGCUAGAUCAAACAAAUAUAAAAUCCAUUCGAGAUCUACCUCCUCCAAUCAAGAAGGAUAUAAUGAGCUUGCUGGGGAGACUAAAUUACAUUAGCCGACUUAUUGCCCAGUUGACAUCUACAUGCGAGCCCAUAUUCAAGUUACUAAAAAAGGAUGCAACAAUCAAGUGGACGGGUGAGUGUCAAGAGGCUUUUGAUAAAAUUAAAGAUUAUCUGCCUAAUCCACCAGUGUUGGUCCCCCUGCAACCAGAAGACCAUUAUUUCUAUAUUUGACAGUCCUGGAAAACUCUUUUGGUUGCAUUCUCAUACAUCAUGAUGUCACUGGAAAGAAGGAACAGGUCAUCUAUUACUUGAGCAAGAAGUUUACCAGUUACGAGGCAAAAUACACCCUGUUAGAAAGAACCUACUGUGCCUUAACUUGGGUGGCUCAGAAACUGAGGCAUUACCUGCAAGCCCACACCGCCUACCUUAAAAUCAGGCUGGAUCCUUUAAAGUACAUAUUCUAAAAACCGAUGCCUACAGGGAGAUUGGCGAAAUGGAAAAUCCUGCUCACCGAGUUCGACAUAAUCUAUGUCACUUGCACAUCAAUGAAGGCCCAAGCGAUAGCAGAUCAUUUAGCCAAGAACUUGGUUGAUGAUGAAUACCAACCCUUGAAUACUUGUUUCACAAACGAAGAGGUGAAUUCGGUGGAGGUAACGGCUGAGGACAUCAUUGCUUGGAAAAUAUUCUUCGAUGGAGCUGUAAAUGCAAAAGGUGUAGGAAUAGGGGCGAUCUUAAUUUCCCCCACUGGUCAACACUACCCGGCCACGACUCGGCUUUUAUUUUUCUGCACAAACAACACAACCGAGUAGUGAGCUUGGAUAAUGGGCAUGAAUAUGGUUAUCGACCAAGACGUUGAGGAACUAUUGAUCAUGGGGGAUUCAGAUCUAAUUAUCCGACAAGCCCAAGGGGAGUGGGUAACUUGAGAUGUCAAACUCAUCCCUUAUCAGCAACAUGUGGAAGAUCUCAGCAUACGGUUCAAGUCGGUACAGUUCAGGUACAUUCCCCUCUAUCACAAUGAGCUAGCCGACGCACUCACUGCUUUGUCCUCACUGUUGCCUUUUCUAGGAAAUGCCUACAUCGAUCCCUUGGAAAUCAAAAUCAGGGAAAGCAAUGGGUACUGUAAUGCAACCGAGGCAAAAUCCAGCACUCAGCCAUGGUAUUAUGAUAUCAAGAGAUUUCUGAAAAUACAAGAAUAUCCUGAGUAAGCCACUAGAGAUCAAAAGAUAACCAUUAGACGACAUGCGAGUGGUUUCUUCCUUAGCGGUCAUAUCUUGUAUAAAAGAACCCCCGAUCUUAACUUGCUAAGAUGUGUUGAUGCCAAGGAAGCCGAAAAAUUAUGCAUGAAGUACACGCGGGAGUGUGUGUGCCCCAUAUGAACGAGUAUGUGUUGGCAAAGAAAUACUUUGACCAGGGUACUACUAAAUAACCAUGGAGAAGGACUAAUUCAGCUUCGUCCGGAAAUGUCAUCAAUGUCAGGUGCACGGUGACUUGAUUCAUGCACCACCAACUGAAUUGCAUCCCAUGUCAGCACCUUGGCCAUUCGUCGCCUGGGGCAUGGACGUCAUUGGACCAAUCGAGCCAAAAGCCUCAAAUAGAUGUUUCGAAUGUGACUACCAACUCGUUGCCGGCCCACAACAAUGGACCAGUAAUCGGGAUGAUCUGUGAGGAAAAAGAAUUCGACCUGCCUUUGAAAGCCAUAAUCGCCAUUACCGACGCGGAUAAAAAGCCAAGAGCCGCCUCCCAGAAAUCUGAAGAGGAAAAGAAGAAUAUAAACUCAUUUGCCGCUUCGGUAUUCCUGCAACCAUCAUCACAGACAACGCGGACAACCUGAAAAGGAGUUUGAUGGGAGAAAUAUGUGAACAAUUCAAGAUAACACAUAGAAACUCCACUCCUUACCGGCCCAAAGCCAAUGGUGCCGUCUAAGCAGCUAAUAAGAACAUAUAGAAGAUUCUGAGAAAAAUGAUUCAAAGCUCAAGACAAUGGCAUGAAAAGCUGCCUUUUACAGUACUUGGAUAUCGCACCACGGUGUGCACAUCGGUAGGAGCAACCCCAUACUUAUUGGUCUAUGGAACUGAAGUUGUUAUACCCGCUGAGGUAGAAAUUCCUUCGCUACGGAUAAUCAUCGAAACAAAAAUUGAGGAUAGUGAGUGGGUCAAGACUCAGCUGGAGCAGUUGUCAUUAAUUGAUGAAAAAUGAAUGGUCGCGGUUUGUCACGGGCAGUUGUACCCACAAAGAAUGGCGCGCUUACAACAAAAAGGUGCACCCCAAAAACUUUGAUGUUGGACAACUUGUAUUGAGGUGCAUUCUCCCUUACCAUCAAGAAGCUAAAGGGAAAUUUGCUUCCAACUGGAAGGGCCUAUAUGUUAUUAGAAAAAUACUACCUAAAGGAGCAUUAUAUAUAGGUGACUUCGAAGGAGAAGAUCCCGAUGCAGCAGUGAAUGGAGAUGCAGUAAAAAGAUACUACGUCUAGACUCCCUAGAACAAUGACUCAGUCCGGUUGAAAUGACGAAGGCUUUUCUUUCCUACUAGCCCAAACACUAUCAAUCCUUCGCAAACCCUUUGAGCCAGUUAUGUUUCUUUGAUCACCCUCUUUGGAACCCGAAAGUACUAUUCAAAUAAAAAGAAGAGAAAAAAAAGAAGAAGAAAACAAAAAGAAAAAUGAAACAAAAUGAAAAAAGAGAAAAAAAAGAAAACAACAAACAAAUUAUUAAAAAAAAAAUACAAAGAAAAAAAGAAAAGAAAAAGAGAAAAAAUGAUGAAAAAUAAAAUAGGAAAAACUACAAAGCAAAAUAAAAUCAGCUUAGGAAACACUUCUUGAUCUACGUCUGAGUUCAUUCCAAAAGGAUACGUAGGCGGUCUCUCCCUGAGGUUCAGUCACACCAACACAAAAAUCCCAAUUCACUAAAAAUUGAAAUCUUGGGCUGAUGAUGUAAUGGUUCACCCAUGAACCCGCCAUAAUGGUUCCAAAGUUGUAGUUCCCUCCAGAUUUCUUUUAUCCAAAACAUGGCCCAAGUCCUUCUGAUCGAUUGGCAGAUGCAGGUGAGCGACAAGUGUCAUUGUUGGGAUUUACACAAUUCCAUAAGAGAAAUAAACUGAGAGAAAUUUAAAAUGAGAGAGUCCGCUUACUGAAUACUCUUAAAGAGCACUAUCGAGCAUCAACAGUGAAAUCACAGCUCAUGGUAGUCCCAACUACCAAAAUAGUCCAGAACUACACUGACCUGAUUCCUUUGCAGCGAAGGAUAUGUAGGCCACCUCUGAAAUAGGGUUCGGUAAAGGAGUUUUAAAAAAUGCCUCACAUGGAAUGUCAAGCAGGCAAAAAUCUCUCAAUUGCUCAUUAUCUAUGUCCGAAAACCCUUCGUGUCUCCAAGAAAAGAGGGGCAGCUACGAGCAUGUGAUUUUUGCCUCGCUCGAAAUAUUCCUAUAGAAUUCUUAAAAUUAAGAAUCAAUUUUUAUAUUUUUCUUGGUUAAUUAUUAUAGCUAAAAUAAAGAAAUAAUUAAAGUGUCAAGUAUUUUUUAACAUUUGUUUAUUUUUCUUUUUAAAUUGGGAUUUAGGUCAUUUUAGAAAUGAAUUAGUUUUGUUUGUAGAAUUCAAAUUUGGUCUUGUCUAUUUUUAUUUGUUAAAAUCUGGAUUUAAAAACAAAGACAGAAAUAAUUAAAAAAAAGAGAGAGGAAAAGAAAGAGGAUUAAAUUUGGGCACCUUUCAACCCAAUUACCAGUCCAAAUUAAAGCCCCCCGGUCCAAGCCCAAACACCCCACACCUUGUCCAGCCUUAUAACACCCGAAACGACGUCAUCUAGCAUCGAGAUAAGCUCGUCGGUUCACUCCUUAUCAUUGAACGACCCAGAUUCGUCCUCGGUUUUAAUAAAACUGUAUGAAUAUAUCUCAAACCCUAGAGACCGUGUCAUCCUCCUCGUAGUUAUUCUCCACCAUCCUCUACCUCACCGCUGCUGGUCAAAAAUCGCCGCCGUCGCCGCCGGCCGGCCUCCAAACUCACCAAAAAAUACACCGAUGAACCUCCUCUCUUACCUCAUACCGAAUCCCACCUUAUUUCCUUCAACUCCCUCUCCAACUCCUCAAAUGUCCAAAAUCAGUGCCAACAUCUCCGUCGUGACCGGCGGUGAUCAAUCAAAAAGCUCCCAAAUUAACACCCCGGGUUCCCCUUUGCCUCCUCUACUAAAAUUUGAACCCCACUUCCCUCAAAUCUCCCUUGAACCUGUCGAACAGGCUAAUAUAUGUCCAUUGUCUCUGCCGCCGUCCACGGCGGUGUUUCAUCCAACCACACCCAAAAUAACACCUUUGACCCUCCUCACCUCCCUCUUCCAGAAUCCCUGAUUAGUUUCCUUCGAACAUCACCGAAGGUUCUCGAAUUUUAAGUCAAAGACCGACAGAACCCUAGAAGGUUCAUAACUGGAGAGCUUUCCUCGAGUUUUGAAGCAAAGCUCAAAUCCUAUUCCAAGCCCCGCAUAGAUAAGUUCUUCUCUUAUUCUAUUUCGUUUAAAUUUUUGUUUUUAAAUAAAAAAGGAGCUUCAAUCUAGACUCCUAAAUAUCAGUUCAAUCAUGCGUUGUUUUAGGGCCACUAAUUUUGUUUAUAUUUUCAUUUUGAUUUCUUUUCGAUUAAUUUAGUUAGAUAGGAUAGCACUUCUGCCUGUGUAUGGAUUUUUGUUCUUAAACCAAUUUUCCUUUAUACACAUUAGUUUUCUGAUUAUGUUUGAUCUUGUUCAUCUUAGUGUUUCAUUUCUUUUAGGAUUGUUUUAGGGUUUGUUUUGUUUUAUUUCUCUUUUGAUGAUGAUCAUUCCUUAAUUUAUUUUGAUAAGUAGUUUGCAAUCCGAAAAUUAGUAGUUAGUUAGUGUUAAGACUUGUGUUGGAAUAUGUUAGCUGAUUAAUGUUCAGAAUUAUCAGAUUAACCACAGCAAAUUAGAGAGGCAAGAAUAAUUAAUAUAAGUUGGUAAUUGUAAGAAAAAUUCAAGGGUAAUUUUGGUAGUUCAGCAGGGAAUCUUUGGUAACUGAUUUAGGAAGCUUCUAUUGGGGGUUCUUAUUGAAUCAUAAAUUAUGAUAGGGAAAACUUGAGUAACAAGUCAGGAUCUAAAGGACUAAUUGAGUAAAGUCUUAAAAUAAGAGAGGAACCAAGAGAAAAAAUUCUCCGAUAUAAUAAAGAAAGUAAGAAGGGUUCCAAACCAUUGAAACAUAAAGCACAAAAGACUGUAACGACGUGGCAGAAAUGAUCACCGUCAAGCACAAGAUUCAAAGAUGGAAUCUUCCUACUCUUGUUAGUUGGGACAGAGCAUCCUAUUUUGUUGAUCCUCCUUUCCCACCGCCUCGAGCUCUUGCUUUUUGGGUGGAUACGCAAGAAAUUCACUAUGAAGAUUGAUAUGACACAACCCCUGAAGAAUAUGAUGUGCCCGGCCUUUCUUCUCUUGAUCCCCACCCACCUCCCGUAGAGGCGGGUCAAUAUCAAUAUCUAUACCAGAGAUUGCUUUUAGCUUUAUCUUUUCAGAGACAGGAGAAUUCCUUCUGUACUUACAAGAAAUCAAUAUCUAUACCAGAGAUUGCUUUUAGCUUUAUCUUUUCAGAGAUAGGAGAAUUCCUUUUGUACUUAAUGCUACUUAGGGAGAAGAAUCUCUUGACUCAUGAGCACCUGAAUCUAUUCUUUCGGCGUCCCACAUCCGCCUAUGUUAAAGCAUCCGCCCAUUCUUCAGUGAAAGGAAAUGCUACUCAGGGAUCAAAAAAGAAAGCUGGUGCCCCGUCAGAAAGACUUGGUUCGUAGAGUAGAGGCAAUUCCCCAAGAUAUUGGUUUUAAGCUCCUCUCCUUACAGUCAAGUGGCUUUCCGCUCCUGCGGGUGACUUUUUGUCUUACGACACGGCAUGGUAAUUGAUCGAGUGCGCUUUCCUUUCUCCUACUCCCACUUCGGGAAGGGAAGUGCUAAAGGGCGGGCAUGCUCGACUGAAAGGAGAGGAAAGCUUCUUCACUUUCGGCACGUUGGUAAUUGAUCGAGUGCGCUUUCCUUUUAUCUACUCCCAUUUCGAGAAGGGAAGUGCUAAAGGGCGAGCAUGCUCGACUGACAGGAGAGGAAAGCUUCUUCACUUUCGCCACGGGCGCGGACUCCGCGAUCUCUGGGUCGCCGAGGUUCCUUUUCUUCCGCCUCUUAAGAUCCGCUAUCUCUAUGAUUUGAUCCUUCGCGUAUCGGCCCCAUACUUCUUUGAUCUCCCUUUCUCCUGACGUAAGAAAGUGACACAGGCUUGGCCAGCUUUUUUCAAACUUGACGGUCAAGUUCCCUGCUACUUCCGUAAAUACGCCUUGGAUGAGCCUAUCAACCGUGUACCUGGGAGCCCUUUUGUUUUCAUCCGCCAGAUUGUAAAGGAAGGCGCCAUCCCUCCUUUCUCUCACAAUCACAAUAGCCGUACAGUCGAAUAGUUGACUUAGAUGGGGGAUAACGGUCGAACUAUCAAAGAGGUGCGCUGCCAAAGAAUUAGGAGUUAUAACAUUCAUAAAAGAAAGAAAAAACCAAUAUACGAACUUCAACUAAGAAAGAAUAGGAAUAAGCACAAUUGCUUAAGUAUGGAAGUCGCUUCUUUUUUUCGGUAUACUGCUCUGCGAGCAGAGCGAAUGAACAUAAAUCUUUCUGAAUAUCAUGAAUUCCUUCGCCCCUUAUCUGCUCAUCUUCCUAUUUAUAAGCCACAGCUUACUUCGACGUUUUCAAUUUCCCAUAGAAUCUCCGGAGCUUUCCUAGCCACUAUAGUUUUCUUUUUUUAUCUUCUUUGUCUGAAAAUUGGUUUGAUUUGCUUCACCUAUGAGAAUUUCUACCAAUUCUUCUUUUAUUCUCUUCUUUGUCUGAAAAUUGGUUUGAUUUGCUUCACCUAUGAGAAUUUCUACCAAUUCUUCUUUGAUUCAUCAAAACUCAUCCUAAUCUCUGUCGACAUUACUGCCUUAGCUCUGUCCUAUCAUAUGUAUAAUGGAGUUCGUAAUUUAUUGACGGAUUUUUCGAGAUUUUUCUUUCUUAGAAUUGGAAGAAAAAGAUUGAAAUGACUAUUCCAAAUUUCACCUAUACCUUUCUUUGAGAUUUCAACAAAAAAUUUUGCUUUUCUUAUGAAAUGUUUAUUAUUCGUUGAUAGAUCUAAAGCUUAUGCCGUAGAAGCUGACAUCAGGCUAUUGGCCUUUUAUCUGCAUCUUCCCUCGUAGAGUGGCGUCUUUUAUAAGAAAAGACUUUCUCAGUGGAACUAAAAAAAAAAAAAGAGUUUGAGCUCUUUUUUUUGGUUGACCUUUAGCCACGCGCGGCGGCUAUGCGCAUGUGUCCCAAAGUGACGUAUAUUUUUUGGUAAUGGGUAUACUCGAGAGAAAAGGUUUGGAAUUCGACCUCCCCUUAUACGCUCUAAAAAGGGGUCAUGGACUCCUUUUUUGUUUAGGAUCCCCUUUCUACAUUCAAUUUUUUGGUCAUUGACUCCUUUUUGUCUUAGGAUCCCCUUUCUACAUUAAAAUUUUUAUUGAGCCUGGUGUGGAAUCACCAUCAUUACACAUUCAUUCUUGGUCUCGCUGCUGGUCUAGCGAGCCUUCCUAGCCGCCUAGAGUGCAGCCUGCCUGCUGAAGACCGUAACGUAAGUAACUCAGUGCUCCAUAUGGGGGAAAUGAAAGCAGAAUUUGUUCGGAUCCUCCCACAUGUUCAAUCUUUUUUAGUGGUUUCCCCAAAGAUCUUUAUCAUUAAUGCAACCUUCAUUUUGCACAUUCAUGGAGUUGUAUUUAGUACCUCUAAGAAAUAUGAUUAUCCACCGUUUGUCAGUAAUGUGGGUUCGCUUGGAUUAUUUAGUGUUGCGCGCCUAAGAGGGCAGCGCACUUUGGGAUGCGGAGGAGCUAUUAUCGUCCCGCUCCCAAACCUAAAGCGGCACCGGGUUUGGACCGCAGGGAACCGUAGCAUGGGGGGAUCUCUAAUCCUUUUGCCGCCACAAGGCUGGCUAAUCGUACGCAACAGGCUCGAAUACCCCUGGUUCUGGAAGGCAUAUGAGUCUGAACGCUAUGUUGAAUGUGCGACCGAGACUACACUACGUAGGUACUUGUGCAGGUGAGGCGUCGGUCGGUCCUUGAAACGGUGGCAGCGGCGCGAGGAGUUAACGACCGAACGUGCUGCAACCUAGGGAUCACCAGGCAGCUCUUUCACUCUAUAGGGAUCGGGGGGGCAUAGCACAAUUAUUCUUGGAGGAGAGUUGUUUGCCCGGGUGACUGAUCCUGCCAUAAUAUACUUCUACCUAUUAUAGCACCGGAAACCAAAGUCGAGCAUACAUACGACGAUCUUCAUGCGUGAAUAGCCGGGAGGAAAGAAAGGACGGUAGAUGAUAAUGAGAAAGGGCGUCGUGUCUGGACGGGCGGAAUGGAUGAGCGAAAGGUGUCAUACCAUGUAGUGGGGAAUAGCCCUCGUCUCAUGUAAGACAACUAAUUACAUCUCGAGGUGCUGCCGAGGAACUGAGAGACCUUCUCGAGCACAGGAUAGGUAAUUGAGCGAUAGACCUAGCCUAUUCGUUAUGGGAAAUCAAUGCUCCGUUCAAAAUAAAGCUUACCAAUGGCACCAGGCUUUCUCCGGCGAGCUUUCUAUUGUAAAGCCAAAGAUGCCCCAAGACAAGGUACAACUGUUGGGAAGGGGACAUGAUCAAUAGAACCUGGUUGGAUCCGGGCUGGGAUAGUGCCGCCCAUUCUUAACCAGUUUCGAAAGGGUUCGCUCAUGCUAGAGGGAGCAUCCCCACUUAGUGAUCGGCCCGCUAGUUCAUGCAAAUCCAAAGAAGUUAUGACGGACGAGCCACAUGGAGGAAAACUUGCACGUGUGGUUCUGGCCGGGCUUUCCUGAGGUAUAUAAUAACCUUGCUUCUGCUCACUACUGGCGCACCUUUCCUAACUAUUGCCCAUUUAUUCAGAAUAAUCUUUUUAGGAGGGAAUAUUUUACAUAUUUCUGCCAAAUCCUUCAAUUAUUAAGUACCGCUGGUACCAUUUCGAUGUGUUCCAAUUCUUUCAAACAAGAGAGGUUUGAUGCUUUUGAAUCCAUUGUAUUAAUUCCACUUCCUACUCGCGGUAUGCUGUUUAUGAUUUCGGCUUAUGAUUCAAUUGCCAUGUAUUUAGCUAUUGAGCCUCAAAGUUUAUGUUUUUAUGUGAUUGCAGCAUCAAAAAGAAAGUCUGAAUUUUCUAAGGAAACCGGCUCGAAAUAUUUGAUCUUAGGUGCAUUUCGCUCUGCAAUAUUAUUGUUUGGGUACGACCGGACAACUACAUAUCUUUUCUUGAUAUAUUCUUUACAAAUAUAUAUCUAUCUAUCUAUAUCGUAAACAAUCGGAUCGUGUAUUACUUAGAUGGGAAACUUGUAGACCUCAUAGGUUGUAAUCUUUUUCUUACGGGGGGAACGAAAUAAAAGAAUAUAUAGACUAGUAGAGACCCUCUAUGUAGUUGUCUAUCUAGGGCGAUCGAUCUACAUCUUUCCCCAUAGCCCUGGGGCUGUGUCUCGAUCUCCUAUGUGCGAAAUAUAAGGGACUAGCUAAUUGUCUAGGGCAAUCGAUCUACAUCUUUCCCCAUAGCCCUAGGGCUGUGUCUCGAUCUCCUAUGUGUGAAAUGUAAGGGACUAGUUCCUAUAGAGAUUCCCCUUGGUCUAAUUCCACGCCUUACGACGAAAGGGGAGUCGGCGUGGCCUAAAGUGAAGAUUGGGGGGAGUAGAAAAAAUUCCCUUAUGGGGUAUUCCGAAGGUGUAACCUAGGCAACGAAAAAGGGGCCCGAUACUUCAACUAGAGGAGCGACCAUUUGGUUCACCAAACCCCGUUCUAGCGUCACACAUUCUCCAGGUCCGAAGUGAUCCAAUGCCCAACUACCGACUCUUCCCGGAAUUGCGUUAUCGUUGCUGAGCCAGGAAUGGCCGUUAGUGGACACCCACCACUUUUCACCGGUUAGAGAGGCCCUCUUUAAUACAUUAAGAAAAGAUGUUCACAGGGGCCAGAAAGACUCGGUCAUAGGAAUUUAGAACACCUACGUGCUGGUAAACGAAAACCACCUCGACCGGAUCAGAGUAAACAAGAAUGUCGAAUCAGGCCGCCCUUUGCCUUGAAAGAAUUCACACGCGGCCACCAGCUUUCCCAAAAUAAGGGGAGAUCUGUGGAAACCACCUCGACUGGAUCAGAGUAAACAAGAAUGUCGAAUCAGGCAGCCCUUUGCCUUGAAAGAAUUCACACGCGACCAUCAGCUUUCCCAAAAUAAGGGGAGAUCUGCUGCUUACUACUGACGAAAACAUCCCACCUAUUCUAUAGUCAAGUCGUUCGCCUAUCUUUCUGAACCCCUUUCCUUCUAUUCUUCAGAUAUUAGGCUUUGACCCAGUGAAAAAUGGGUUGAUGGUGUUGGCUAAAAAAGGGGGAGAGAGGAGAGCCUUAGGGUACGCUCAAUUGUUUAGGUUCUCGAGAUUCUCAAUCGCUCUUUUAAGUGCGGAGGAAUAGUAUGUGAAUAGCAGUUCUCUGACGAGGAAAUCAUUCCUCUCUAAAUAAAAAGAAGAUAGAAUCUUUCUAUUGAUAGAGCUUUCACGUCUGCGCAUAGAAUCCUUUUUUGCUGUUCCAUUCUGUUCUUAUGGUAGUUGGGUCAGAAUCCGUGUGAUGGUUCAAAAGUCGUUUCAAAUAUUCUUCGCAUCCUAGAGAGAUAGAUUGUUGCCAUUGUGCCCUGGUUGUCAAAAGGGGCACGAACAGCCUUAAAGUACUGCUCCAUGUCCUUGAGGUCUUCGAGCCUUGGCAUUUAGAAUCCCGUUGAAUUUCUGUGGUUCCGGGACUCAGUUCUGGAGUCGCCAGGUGAGACAUUCGGUUCACGAACCGCAAACCUAUCUCCACAGCGAGCUCUUCAAUUUGACCCGGUCCGUCACACUUUGGACAUCGCCACCGGGAUCAUUGAGGCCCCAUGAAGAUGUCUACUUCACUGGGAAGACACGGUACUCAUUAGCGAGCGUCUGGUGACCAACGAUUCCGGAUUCCCCUGCCUUUCUGCCAUUGUCUACACUUGUCUAUCCAAAUGGUCGACCUUGCCAUCAAGUUGGGUCACUCGAUCCUUGAGUGUUUCCUUAACAAAAGCCGCCGCUAACAGCACUCCACUUUCACGCGAAAGAGAAGGUAAGGCUUGACCUUGGCUAAGCUUAGUCGGAUUCUUCCCCUAUGUGAACUACCUUUAGCUUUCGAUAAGACAGCUCCAGCAGAAUCCUAAGAAAACUUUCACCACUCCUAAAGCAAGCAUUUCCCUUGCGCGUGCUAUUCCCUCUUCAAUAAGUGAACCCGGAUCCUCAUCCUCAUCUCUUGAACUCUCGGCUGAUAAAGAAUAGGAAAAAACUCUCUUAUUAUAGAGGAAGCUCUUGUCUCUCUCUUGCCCAUGAACAGGUCAAGUCUAUGUGACCAGAAUAAAUCAGUCUUAACUAAUCCAAAAGGCUAGCGAUGUCACCUCCGGGUAGGAGUUCCAUUCAAGAAGAUGGAUCCGUUUAAGCCGCUAUUUCAUCAGCAUCUGGCACUGCUUGACUUGCUUUCACUGCUUUUUUGAGCUUGAACGUGGCACUCAAGCUUCCAUGUCAACUAAAGUCUGUCCUCCGUCAAAAUGAAAUUGGCACUGCUUGACUUGCUUUUACUUAUUUUUUGAGCUUGAACGUGGCACUCAAGCUUCCAUGUCAACUAAAGUCUGUCCUUCGUCAAAAUGAAAUGGCAAUAACUCGUUUCGUCAAUCAAGAAAUUCAACACUGGAGUGCAGAGCAGGGCUUCCACUCAAAGAGGAAGCCCCAGCGGAAAGGUCAACUAAGAAUGAGCAAUUAGAAUUGACUAAAUAAGUGAAAGGGGAACAGUCUUAUCUUAAGAGUUUGUCGUCUUGCGAAUUGGCUUGACAAAUUUUCGUCGGUAAAUCACUCUUUGUUGUCUGUCAAGUUAUCUAUAUACUUACUGGAGUGACCGAAGUGCUUCCUGAAACAAGCACGAUGGAACGGUCAAGAAAUAACUCGUAUGGGGAGAGGAGUAGGAGACACCCCAUAUGAGCUUUUGUAGGAGCAAGCUGACCGAGUUUCAGACCCCGGAUAGGAGUCCUUCUUUCUCUUUAUUGACCUUGAAGUUUCGGCAUACAAGUAAGCACGAACAUGAAUAGGAGCAGGCAAUGGAAUUGUAUCACAAUCGGAAUAUGUUGAAUAGGCGUAAUAGCCCGUCUGCCAGCUAUUGGAAUAGGCCAUCCGUCUUAGCCACCUUAUUUUGAAGGAGCAAGCCAGCAAGUCUUCCGCUGACUAAUCUCCCAUCGCUAUCAAGUCCAACCGGAUCUUCUUUCUCUUGUUUCAAAACCCCAACCAGUAACCAAGACAAACAAGCCAGCUUCGGUAGUGGUAGUAGCUUCAAAGGAACUGGUAGCAUGUCUUGAAUAGGAAAGCAUUCAAAAGCUUGAACAAUGAAGUGAAAUUACUUUAUAGUUCGAUCUCGUUUUCAUCAUUGUCGACGGAAAAUAAAGAAGGGAGUGUUUUAAUUUCCUUUGUUUCGACUUUUAAUUAGCCUAAAAGUUUUUCCAUUUAAUCACUGACAAAACCUACCUUUCAAUUCAACUUUACAAUAAUCAAUCGAAUGGGUAAGAGCCUCUUCAUAAUCCCUAUUCAAAUUGCUUGCUUGACUGAUUAAGGUGGCUUUACUCUUGUUCCAGUCACUGUGGCUCUUGCUUGAGCCGAGAAGUACAGAAGGCACAGAGGUGAGAAGUUUUUAGUACGAAAAAUGGACAGGUUUCAAGUAAGGCGAGUAAGAGAACGGCUAUUGCUUGAGCCGAGAAGUACAGAAUGCACAGAGAUGUGAAGUUUUUAGUAUGAAAAAUGGACAGGUUUCAAGUAAGGCGAGUAAGAGAAGGUUAGAGAGAACCGUUGCUUUGACAUAAAGGUUUGCCUUAUAAAAAAGAAUAAAUAGAUAUACGUGAAAUGAGCCCUAUUCCUCCUUUCCAAUGGCCAAGUCACCACCUCNNNNNNNNNNNNNGGAUAUAGAAUAAUUAAUUCACGUCACACGGGUAGGUUUAUAGCUAACAUUGUUUCAGAUAUAUGUAGAUAUUUUUGCUUUAGGGAUAAAAUAAUGGCAACUUCUAUGGAUAAUGCUUCUAGUAACACUAGUGCAAUAGGCAUGCUAACACAAACCCUUAAUCCUUUCCUUGAUGAGACUAAGGCAGCUUUACUAUUAGUGUGAAUAUGGAGGGGAAGUAUAUUUGCUGAAGGCAGGUUAGUGUUCAGCGACAACGAACGCUAACAUUACAUGAGAUGCGGUUGGAAGCGAGGCAGCAAUCUUUCUAUGUUUUCCACUCGAAUGUAGUUUUUCUGUGUGAGCUUAGAUGACCAACUCAAUUCUCUUCACCCUUUGGGGAGGACUUUCUUUUUCCUGUCUCGAACCGGAGGCACCCACCAGUAGUAGGGGGCGCCCAAAAUUGACCUGGGUAGGCGAGCUUCACAGCGUUAGGUAAGGCUGUAUUCUGUCCGAGUUCAGGCCCGGGACUAGACCGGGACCGCGGUCCUGGCGGGUCUGCCUGUCCUGGCGGGCCCAACGGCUAUUUUAUUUAAUUUUUUUUUUUGAAAAUUGAGUAGCGACUCUUUGCAAAAAGUAGUCGUUUGGAACUUUGAAAAAUAGCCAUUUGGCCCCAAAACAUUAAUUUAACCCCAAACAUUAUAUAAUUACACUUUUUCCCAUUUCUCAACUAUAAAUACCCCCUCGUUCUUUCAUUUUUAUUCACCAAUUCAUCAAUAUCUCUCAAUCUCNNNNNNNNNNNNNNNNNNNNNNNNNNNNUAAUUAUACUUUUUCCCAUUUCUCAACUAUAAAUACCCCCUCAUUCUUUCAUUUUUUUCACAAAUUCAUCAAUAUCUCUCAUUCUCUCUCAAGCCCUCUUUCAAUCUUUCUAGUACAAGUGCUUAAUUUAUUGUUGAAAAAUUGUGGAAAAUUGUGAAGUUGUUGAAUUGAAGUUUUCAAGUUUUCAAGUCCAACGAUUUUCAAUUUUCAAGAAGUUGUUCGGCAAUCUGGUAAACUCGUUUCAACUCUUACGUNNNNNNNNNNNNNNNNNNNNNNNNNNNNNNNNNNNNNNNNNNNNNNNNNNNNNNNNNNNNNNNNNNNNNAAACUCGUUUCAACUCUUACGUGCUAAUAAUAUAUUUUUGUGUUUUUUAGUUUGCAUAAUUCUAAUUAGUAUGGCAUUUUCUUUGAAAAAAUGUUCGGCAAAAGGAAAAGGUAAAACUGGUGAAAGUAGUGGCCUUAAUACUACCCUUCCCCCGGCUCCCGACCUAAAAAAUAUAAGCAAGUUGAAACUAGUCGCCAACCUAGACGUCCUAAUCCGCCUCCCGUAAUGCUUGAUAGUGAUCACCCUUGUUUNNNNNNNNNNNNNNNNNNNNNNNNNNNNNNNNNNNNNNNNNNNNNNNNNNNNNNNNNNNNNNNNNNNNNNNNNNNNNNNNNNNNNNNNNNNNNNNNNNNNNNNNNNNNNNNNNNNNNNNNNNNNNNNNNNNNNNNNNNNNNNNNNNNNNNNNNNNNNNNACCUAUCUUAGAGGAAAAUGAGGAUGAUAAUGAUGAUGAUGAAACCCAAGCACCAGACUUAGAUGAUACACCUACUAGUCCUGCUCAUAACUCAGGUAACGAACCAGCACACCCACCUGUACGAACUCCCACUUUUAGUAGACAACCUGCUAAACGUCAAGAAACAUCAUUAGUUUGGUAUUUUUUACGCAAGAAAGAGAGCACGACAAGGCUAUGUGUAAAACUUGUGGGAAAUUACUUGUUCAUAGGUACACUGGAGAUCGUAGCGGCACGGGUAGUUUGACUAGGCACAUAAAAUUACACCCUAGAGAUAGAGCUAGAUUUUUGCAAGUCAUUGGAUAGAUGAAGAUUGGACAAUGCAAAAUGCAUAAUUGCACAUAGAAUAAUUAAUUUACGGCACACGGGUAGGUUUAUUGCUAACACUGUUUCAGAGAUAUGUAGAUAUUUUUACUUUAGUGAUAAAAUUAUGGCAAUUUAUAUGGAUAAUGCUUCUAGUAACACUAGUGCAAUAGGCAUGCUAACACAAACCNNNNNNNNNNNNNNNNNNNNNNNNNNNNNNNNNNNNNNNNNNNNNNNNNNNNNNNNNNNNNNNNNNNNNNNNNNNNNNNNNGCAUUUAGUAAUAUUUUUCAUGUUAGAUGUAUUUGUCAUAUUUAUCAUUUAAUUGUUGGUGAUGGUAUGCGAAUAUAAAACAUAGAAAUUGAAAAGGUGAUAAUGGAUCUUAAUUGGCUAUUUUAUUCAAACCGUAGAACUAGACAUAGAGAGUAUUUUAAUAAAUGUGACGAAUAUGGCCUUAGAGAAAGAAAGGUUCCUAAACCUUGCUCGACUACGUGGAAUUACCUGUACGAAUGUUUAGUAGUAGCAUAUGAAUAUAGAAACCCAAUUAUGCUACGUUUAACUCUAGGGCAGGUGGUGAGGAUGAUGAUGAAAUUCUAACUACCCAAGAUUGGACUAAUGUUAAAAUUCUUUUAGAUUUUUUUGAACAUUUUCAAGUUGCUACAAAUGCUUUUUCUGGGAAAUAUUAUCCGACUAUUUCUAACUGUUUAGUUUGUAUUGCCGCACUAGCUGAUUUUUUUUGUUGAAUUUAGCGAGGUGGGGAUAUUUAUGAACUUGCAAUAAAUGAAAUGAAACAAAAGUUUAAAAAAAAUGUUUUUCCUAUCCCUCUAUUUUUGGUGUAGCUGCUAUGUUAAAUCCAACAAUGAAAUUAGGAGGUCAUCACUUUUGGUAUUCUAAUAUUUAUAAAGCUUUAGAUCUUUCAGAAGACAAAAUUGCUACACUAGCUGAUACGAAAGCAUCAAUUAAAAUUAAUGCUCAAACUGUUUAUAAUGCUUAUAAACAGGCGUUAGAGCAUGCUAGGCCAAAUAUUCCAACCCCUACUUCGUCUACAUGCUUAUAAACAGGCGUUAGAGCAUGCUAGGCCCAAUAUUCCAACCCCUAUUUCAUCUACAUCACAAUCGUCUAAAAGAACUGCUGGCUUAACAUCUCUCAAAAAUCGUGGAUGAAGUUCCGGGGUUCUCAAGCUGAUAAUUUUGAUGAAAUUUCCCAUCUAAAUGAGCUUCAAGUUUACUUGUCACAGGGACUAGAAAAGGAGAAUCCAGACGGCUCUUUCGAUCUUCUGGAAUGGUGGAAGUCAAGGGAAAAAUAUUUUCCCGUUCUUGCAAGGACGGCUCGGGAUGUUUUAUCAAUUCAAGCUUCAACUGUUGCAUCGGAGAGCGCUUUCAGUCAAGCAAGACUACAAAUCGGUGAUCAUAGAGCGGCGAGGCUCGGGAUGUUUUGUCAAUUCAAGCUUCAACUGUUGCAUCGGAGAGCGCUUUCAGUCAAGCAAGACUAAAAAUCGGUGAUCAAAGAGCAUUGAAGCGGGAGAGCUUGGAAAAAUUAGUGCAUUUUAGAGAUUGGAUCCGCGCGGAAAGAAGAAACAUUGGCAUAGCAGAAUCACAACCGGCAAUAGAUGAGGCAUAUGAAGAAAUGAUAGCAGAACUUUCUGAGGAAUCGGCUUUACCCGGAAGUGGUGAUGAACAAGCUUCAUUCCACCACCACCAACACAACCUCCUCCCAACCCACGGAUUUAUGAGAUUUGUUAGAGAUACAACGUAAAUUAUGAUGUAACUUGUAUAUUAGCACGUCUUCUUUUCGUUUUUUUUCCAUUAAUGGUGGUAUUAGUACCUUGUUAUGCUCAUUCCAUUGGGGGAAAGAAGACUAAGAAAGAUAUGCCAUUUCGGUCAAUAAAUAUGCUCUUUGCAAAAUAUACUAAUUACAACAACACAAUAUAUACAUUAUACACAAUAUAUACUAAUUAUUACAACACAAUAUAUACAUAAUAUACAACACAGUAUAUACAUAAUAUACAAUAUAUACUACUUACUACAACACACUAUAUACAUAAUAUACAAUAUGUACUAGUUACUAUAAAGCAUUAUGCACAUAACAUAUAUCCAUAUAUACAUAACAUACAAUAUAUACUAAUUACUACAACACAAUAUAUAUAUAUAUUAUACAAUAUAUACUAAUUACUACAACACAAUAUAUACAAUACUAAUAACUUAGUACACCAUAUAAAAUAUAUUUUACACUAUACUUAUGACUACUAUACAAGAUAUUGACUUAAAAAUUAAAAAUUAAAAAAAAAACCAUCAGGCCCGUUAGGCCCGCCAGGCCCAGGACCGCAGAGGGCUUAGGCCCGUAAUGGGCCGGUCUCUACCGUGAGGACCGACAGGCCCGGGACCGCCAGGCCCGGCACACCAAGACUGUGACCGCGAAGCCCGGACCGUCAGGCCCGUUUAGGCCCGGGCUCGGGACAGAAUACAGCCUUAGCGUUGGGCUAUAGUUACCAGUUUUGAGUUACUCAGCGGUUAUUCCCCACCAGCACGGCUUGCGUAUGCGGAUCUCUCUCUCUACUACCAGGAAAGGGGUUAAAAUCGCCAUCGCUGGAGCACUAUUGGCCUCGAUUAUCCCCCAGCUGAUCUACCCUGUAAUGUGAUGAGUUCCGACCCCUUUCAUUACUAAGGGGCCCAUUCUUACUGAAUGAGUAUGAAAGGAAAACAAAGUGCCCAAGAGAUUGGAGGACAAGUAGUGAACUAAUUUAUCUUCUUAGAGAGAAGGAUAUGCUUGAACAACUUAUUUCGUUCAAAGAGAUGGCAAUCACUUUCUUCCCACCCAGAAAUCGUAGUAAAAACAAUCAUAUAUUCGGAAAGAGAGAAUCGAGAGCCGGGAAUCUUCUUCUUUAGCAAAUUCAACUUCUUUCCCGGGAGCAGCAAGAAUACCGGUUUAUUCAUCUGCACCGGAAGUCACGGAGCUCUCUUCUCUUUCAAUGUGAGCCGGAUUUCUAAGCACUAGUAUUUCCUUCUCACCAGCUAACUCAUAGAAGUCAACCCAUGCGCCUUUCGCGGGGUGAGCAAAAAGCCUUUCCCUGGAUCCUGGUAUGAAACCGGAUUUCUAAGCACUAGUAUUUCCUUGUCACUAGCUAACUCAUAGAAGUCUACCCAUGCGCCUUUCGCGGGGUGAGCAAACAGCCUUUCCCUGGAUCCUGGUAUGAACUCACAAAAAAGCAUUGACCCGUCGCCUGCUUCAUCUGCAGAGAAAGAUACGUAUCUUAGGGAAUAAGGAAUCUGAGGAUUCGUUGAACAUAGUUCAACUCAUUUCAUACAAUUCGCUCAUCCGUCCCUAGUUCAGUUGCAGCACUCCUUCUCUUUCUCAGGGAUACUACUGUCUCAGUAGGACAAUGAAUAGCUUAUAUAGGCCUCUUUCCUUCGCUUCUCGACAAUUAGUUAAGUUCCGAGUCAUGAAAACUGACUGGAUUCUAUCUAUCUACUAGAAAGAGAUAUACGAGAUUCACUCUCUCUAGCUCAGCUCAUAAGCUAUACAAAGCUGGGGAAUACUCGCUUAAAAGGAGCUCUCUUAUGAAUUCGCUAAGGACAUGAAAUGAGUCUACUGAAGUAUUAGAAAAAUUCUAGGUAGAGAAUCCGCUUCAAGUCUUAUUUGCUGCGAUAAAAAAAAUCUAAGUGAAAAAAAGAAUCAAUCUAUUAGAGCGGAAGUAGAGAACGGUACCAGGGCGGGCCCAUUCUCGAUAUGGGUAAUCCUUACGAAAAAAAAAAUCAAUCUAUUAGAGCGGAAGUAGAGAACGGUACCAAGGCGGGCCGAUUAUUGAUAUGGGUAAUCCUUAGUAUACUCAAAAACUUCGUUGUGGUGUCAAGACCAUUUUCGGAAGAGCGUGGAAUAGUAGAGUUCUUCUUCCUUUUAUUCCAAAAUGAGGGCUACGCGGCCGAAUCCUUCAAUCCGAGGCGAUCGAAGUGAGGCAGAGUUUCGUCCUGAGCAAUGAAGAUAGAGACCAAUCACUUUGAUCGUGGUUGUUCUAGCCAAGCCGCUUCGGAUCCAGCUAGCCCUUGAAAGGAUUAACUAAAAGUAUCAUUACUUAAGAAAAGGUCUCGGCGUCCCCGACCUUGGGGCCUAGUCGCUGACUUGAUGGCUAAUCAUCAGUCUAUGGUACUAAAGACCUUACCGGUCGGGUAAAGCUUGCGCGAAGGGAUUCGUUGAACAUAGUUCAACUCAUUCACUCUAAUAGUAGAAGUCAUCAGGACGGUAGCACUUCAGCGAACAACAGCUACUGCUGCAGCAGCUUUAGAUACUCGCCUGGAAUCGGUAUUUCAGACCUAUGUCAUGGGUCCCACCUGCUUACCGGCAUGCUUCUUGCAACACGGACUUCGGGUUUUGGAGGGCGUCCCGCGCCUAGCCCUUAGCUCGGGACGGGAUGAAGUGUUCAAGGUUUGGACUUCGGGUUUUGGAGGGCGCCCGUGCCUAGCCCUUAGCUCGGGACGGGAUGAAGUGUUCAAGGUUCUCCGCGGUCAUUAUUAUUAUAACAUAUCAAAAUCGUCUCGUAAAACUGCUAUGCGCUCUCAAGAUUUCAAUAAUACUUUUGAAGUAGAAUUGUUAGAGAUUCAACUCCCCUGCCUUUACUUCCAUCCUACCACUGAGCUCAAUCUCGGGGCUCACGAGGAUAGGACUGCAGGCACUACACUUAUCAUUUAUGUAAUUUAGGUAAUUAGGUAAGGUUAGUCAUUUCACAUAUGCUGAUCCUUCUCUUAUGAUUUUUUUUGCUUGCUUUCGCACGCCGAUCUAAUUGAUCGCAUCGCAAGUUAAGAUGUCGUCGCGUCAAUCAAGUCAAGUAUAAUUGCUGUUUUUUUCCCUUUCUACUUUAGAAUUAGAAACUAAAUGCUAUUCGUUUCUUCCCAAAAUUGCUCAAAGAGCAUGUGAUCCCUUUCUACUUAAGAAUUAGAAACUAAAUGCUAUUCGUUUGUUCCCAAAAUUGCUCAAAGAGCAUGUGUGAAGAAUAUUAUUCUGUCAGAGCUGGAGGAUCUUUGGCAGGCUUUCGCGUAACCCUAGUGAACUCGAGUCGAAUCACCCAAGAAAGGGAAAGACUAGAAGGAUGCUACCCACGCACCAUCAACAGUAGCAGAAGGUCAAGAUCUAAGAAGAGAUGGGAGGGAAGUCCCCAACCUCAAAGGUUUCGGAUGACGUUCGGACAUCAAAUCCACCUCGAAAGAAAACAAGUGAACUACAAAGAAAAAAGAAUGGAAAGGAAUUCCUUUGUUUGUAUUGGUAGCCACUUGCAGCUCGAUUUCACUUAGCGAUCUCGACUAAGUCACCUCACCAGAGAUAGGGUGAUUUCCUUCUUAAACCACCUAUUCUAAUAGAGGAUACCGUAUAGUGAAACGAAUCCUUCAUCCUUAUAAGUUCAACUCAUUCGGGAAAAAGUCAGGAAGGUUGAGGAAAUUCCACUAUUUGUUUUGGGAAAGACCUCACUCGCACGUAAUAUAGUAAUAUAUAAGGCUCUUCUUUAAAUACGUAACCAAUCCAAUUAGUCUUUCUGGCUGGAUCUCCCCCAAUAGACUCUUUUUAAUAGGUGUCCCCGAGAAUGCCUGUCAUAAGCAUAACAAAGCUCGAUCGGAGGGCAUUAGGAACCUAUUUCCUCUGUGCAGAUGAGCCCCGCCUUUCUAUUCUCUUUCAGAUUGAAACUUCUUGGUGUCCAUGACUUCUAAACCUUCGCACGUCUUCAGAUCUGACCCAACAUUGAUAGUGACCUCCAACUAUACGUCUUACCAAAAAGUAUCCCUAAAGAAUAAUUAUUUAACAACAAACAACCAGUUCAGAUAUUCAAUGGAUAGGCCCUGAAAGGAGAAGGAAGGCCGGAAUGCCAACAGGCGUCUAUUCUAUUAAAUUUACCCGUUUGGGAACGCCCAGUGACAGGGUAUACUUUUCUUUGUCUACGACAAUACCUCUUGUUGAGACAACCCAUUUCGAAAUCCUAUUUGCAAUUCCCGGGGUGUGAAGUCUACCUAUAGAUAGAGAAGGCGCAUGGAAGACAAAGCCUACAAGAAUUCUUUUCGUUCUACCUUGCAUGGCGGAUUGAAUAGCCUCUUCCCCAGGUCUAUUGAUGGAUCGCCUAGAAUCGUCUUCCCUAGAGAUACUAGGAAGUAGCAAGAAAGAAUAGAUAUAUAAGAAUAAGGAAGGGAUGGGGCUCCUAACUCGAGAAAAUCCGUCUUUCAAAUAGUAUUUUAUACCCAGAAGUUCAAUGUCAUAUUAGGGGUUCGAUCUCUGUCUUGACUCCGGCCUGAGAAUCAAACCAAAUAUUUUGUUGGUUGCGCCCCCUUCAGUGGUUUCCAUCUUAAAAAAGAAAGCUUGUUUGGCUCUUAACGAGUACGAGUGAAAGCCUCCUUUUAUCUUCAUCGAUCGUGAUGGUGAAUAGUUUGGGUCUUAACGAAUACGAGUGAAAGCCUCCUUUUAUCUUCAUCGAUCGUGAUGGUUAAUAGUUAGUUGAUAAGGGAACAACUAAACGAAAAGUAGAAGAGAUCUUAUUCGCCGAUGAGGUCGAAGUGGUAGUCAACUUAAGCUUUUCAACUCAAGUAAAGCGAAUAAGCUAGUCACUAAACAACUAUUUCAACCUUCCUUUCUUCCUUUAGGGGUGGUUACGUUCGUCGUACCUACUAUGAAUAGAGAAAACUAUCCCCAUUGCACUCACUAGCAGCCCAGGUCUUUCCAUUCUACAUGUGGAAUUAUCUACUGGUUCUCGUCCACUUACCGUUGACCUCGAGCAGUAGCUUAGCAGCCCAUGUCUUUCCAUUCUAUAUGUGGAAUUGUCUACUGGUUCGCGUUCACUUACUGUAGACCUCGAGCAGUAGCGUUGGCAUGUAAUAAGUUUCUGAUCCAACUUCUCCCCUUUUGUUGGUUUAUUUAUUUUCUAAACAAGAUGCCAAUUUUCCCCCUUUGGUACAGUCACUUCCGCAUUGGGGGUUUGGCCGUACUCCCUUUUCUCGAGUUACUCACUGGACGGAUUCCAUUUCGUUCUUCGUUACAGACUACGUUCCUUUCCUCUUUUCAGAACUCAAAACAAAAGUGAGUUAUUCCUAUCUCUUAAUGAGAGCCGCUUAUCGAAUAAAUAAUCAAUAAAUCAUCAACUAUUUAACCGGGGAUGAUAUUCUAUUAAUUUCCAUCAGUCGGAUUCUAGUAAUGAGAUGGGCUUUCUCGUCUGAUCUCUGCAUUAACAGGAAUGUGGGAAAAGCUUCUUCUUUCGCCUGUAAGCUUGAACUGGUUGCUAUGAAUCUUAGCCAGUUUCUUCUUACUCCUAUUGUUCUCAUUCCGGGCCAACCGUGCCAUGAAGAGUCGAGCAAGAGCAAUUGCAACUUUCUCUCAGCCUUUCCAAACAUGUGCCAUUGAGGGGAGCUUGCCUUCGAAGCGUAAUCGACCCUCUUUAUUCUUAAUAAUAGUGAACAUUGAGAAUAUUGGUCUUUCCCUGGAGCAGCAAGAAUACCGGUUUAUUCAUCUACACCGGAAGUCACAGAGCUCUCGUCUCUUUUAAUGUGAAUCGGAUUUCUAAGCACUAGUAUUUCCUUCUCACCAGCUAACUCACAGAAGUCAACCCAUGCGCCUUUUGCGGGGUGAGCAAAAAGCCUUUCCCUGGAUCCUGGUAUGAACUCACAAAAAAGCAUUGACCCGUCACCUGCUUCAUCUGCAGAGAAAGAUACGUAUCUUAUGGAAUAAGGAAUCUGAGGAUUCGUUGAACAUAGUUCAACUCAUUUCAUACAAUUCGCUCAUCCGUCCCUACGACUACUUACCAUUCGCCUUUAUUGAUUCUUUUCAAAGAUUGGGAUCCUUGCCUAUGAUUACUGUCUGACCUGCUUUGUUACCUCACCUUAUCACUUGGACUACUGCUCAUUCCCUAACUACCUGACCAGGGCUACCUCUUGCUAUUGCUACUCUGACUAAAGCCCCACAUCAAAGAAGGCCGCAACUUUUAUGCUUUUCACUAACUGGCAUGGCUAUUGCAACUACUGCUAGCUGAUCCAUUCAAAGACCGGGAUUUCUAACCUUACUACUCUUAUUGAUAUAGAACUACCCAUGAACCCUCGCUGCACCAUCUGUUGUCCGCUGCUUGGCUUGCUAUCGGGAUAUGCUUGCCGCCGAAAACCGAACCGAUUGGCCCAUCCCUUUCCUGCCAACGACUGCUGCUCGUGGAAUUGUUCGUCGUGCCACUGGAUUAAAGUUUCAACGUGUUUUCGGGGAACUGAGAUACGUAUUCUUAUUUGACUUGAAUGAGUUUCCCAGUUAGUGAGUCUUCCUUUCUCAAAACUACGUAUCUUUCUGUUUCUUCAGUAGAUCUGCCCAGUUGAACGCUUUCUAGCAGCACCAAAAGCUUAGGAGAUUAGAUACGUAGUGAAGCGAAAGUAGCCAUCUUUAUAUCUGGUUUAUUGACUGGUACGCCUUAUAUACCGCUUUUGGGCAACCUUCUCAACAACUAAGAGAUCCGUGGGGACUAGUUGAAGUAAUAAGCCUCCCACAGACUCUGGGUUCCUUGCGGCGCUGCUUGCUAUUCUAUCAAGGAAGAAGGAGCAGGUAAGGUUCGGGUCUUCGCGAUCCAAGGCCUGUCUUAAGAGAAGUGACCUUCGGAUACACGUCAAACAGUAAAGUGCUUUCUCUGAGGUGAAUCUAAUAGUUUAGAUAUCCUCGCACAGAUGUUCUCGAAUGCGCCGUUCUCUUUGUUAGAAAGCCCUCUUGCUGCUUGAAAAGGAGCUCAUGACAUAAAUUGACACUAUUCAAUGUCUCGAGUAGGCCAAUUGCCUUUCUUAUGUUAGAAAGCCCUCUUGCUGCUUGAAAAGGAGCUCAUGACAUAAAUUGACACUAUUCAAUGUCUCGAGUAGGCCAAUUUCCUUUCUUACCUUUGCUGGUGCUUGAGUUGGAUUGGAUGAGGAUAGAGGAUUAGCAAUGAUUCUCUAGCCUUUUUUUUUUACCUGGCCAGUCUAACUAGAUCUUUAUCUCUUGCUUGCUUUCAUUCUUUUCAGCAACUCGCCAGACUUGAACUGGCAGGGCUCUGAUCAAGCCUAUUUUUCCUACAAUAGAGUUUCUUUUGGUACGCAGUUCGAGACGCUUAAAUUUCAGCCUUCCUACAUCUACGGGCAGACCGCUUAAAGGAGUCUUCUAUCCGGACUCCCCCUAGAACCUCUGUCUGGUCUAUGGACUACUUUAAGCUUGAUUGCUCCUGUCUUCUCACUUAAAGCGUUAGCGGGUCACCAGUCCACCCAACCUUAACUAAGAAGAUGCAGCACCAUUCACUUUUUUUAUAAUAGAAUUGGAGCUAGCCCUGGCUAGGUGGCCCUCGUAUAUAGUAGUAAGGAUUCUUUCCAGUUUUUUUAAAGAAAGAUCUUGUUUGACAAAGAAUUUCUAACUAAUAGAGCUUUAAUUAAAUUUACCAUUUCUUGCGAAGUUUUCUCUUGUUUUGAGAAGUUUUUGAUAAAUACAAGACUCUUUCCCUUCUUCGGUUUCUAAUUUAGUAAAGUAUUCCAUCAGCGUCUUCCUAGUAAACUCUGGAUCUUUAUUAAAGAUUCCGUUAGCGACCAAGCUCUCUUUUUGCUGAGUCCAGAAUGGAUUGGGAUCCAAAUGGUCCGUGCGAGCGAUAAUACCUCUCUUUAUCCUUAUUAUCGCAUCAAUUUCAUCGUCGUUUACGUCACAUUGUGGAGUCACAGUUGAAAGACGAUGUUUAAUGGUGUCGUGUUGAAAGAUCCAAACAGGAUCCUUACAUGGAUUGGGAUCCUUAUGUGCUGGCGAGUGCGGUUCAUUUUUAGCAUAUUGAGGUUUGAUUGGGGCCGGUUGAUCCGCAAAAUCCCCCUCUCCCGGAAAAGGAAGUUGUGGUUGGGCGGAGGCAGGGAUCUUCUCCAGUGGUCAUUAGUAAUGCACUUUGUGGUCCUUAUUGGGUCCUGGCGAAGCAUAAGAAGAGAUUCUUAACGUCAGGAAUAUCGGCCUUAGCAUCUUUCAUAUUAAAAAUUAGAUUUUCUUUCUUUACUUGAGAAUGUUCUUACCAGGCAUACUACUCAUCACUUAUUUUGCCCUUUGGGAUCGAAACAACCUAUUAAGGGUUGUAACCUACAUAACCUACCUCCGGAAGAAGGUCACUGUAGUUCGAGCCCUUUUGAUAAAGCAGUUCCUGUACUUUGAAUGAAUUCAAGCUUGCCCUCCUCACCUCUCCCCCUUCCCCUUAUCAGAGAACCAAAAACUAACCAUGAUACAAGGGCCUGCCUCUCAGUACGUGAAAACGGAAGUGAGACUCUUUCAUUGUCUUACUUUUGCCCCUCUCUAGCCUAAUCAAAAAAUUUGAACAACCCCCGAGACACCAAACAAAUCCCCUAGAACUCACGCAUAUACCAUGUCAGCCUCCACCUUCAGAUCCUUACUAUCCAUCUUUAUCAGCCAACUCCCCCGUUUCAAAAAACUUUAUCCACCACAAAGAAAAGGUGCCUUAGCGGCUAUGCUUCUCCAGUGCCCGACCAUAGACGUCGCUCUCCCCCGGAUGUUGUAAUUCUUCUAGUCUUUAAUUCCCCGCAAAUGAAGAGAACAAGUCCUAGUAGGAGAAGAAAGUGGUCGAGUCGCUCGAUCCUCCCCUCUAGCCACUCCAGGUUUGGAAAAUGCGGCAAAAAGUACAAUAAUGCCCCAAAAAUUAAGGGGACUAGAGGUUGUUUUGCGUGUAGGCUAUUCCUUUGAAAAAGGAAGAAACCUAAAAAGAUAAAUAUAUGACAGAAGAUAAAAAAGAAAGGAAUGGGGCAAGAUAUGUUAUCCCCGCUCCGCGCCGACGCUAUGGAAAUUACCCCUAAACUUGUACUCGAAAAAAAAUAAAGCCAAAAUGCAAAAAGAAAUCCAACCCUUCCGCGUUUUCUAAAGCAAAGGAAAAUUAUGCAAGCCCCCAACACAAGGGCGGGUAGCCGUGCCGGUUCAUGCAGAAAAUAUUCACUAUAAUUGACUUUUCCUAAAAAAUAAAAAUAUAACAUAAGUAGAAUAAGGGGAUAAAUUGACUGUUUGGGGCGAGCUUCCAAAAAGAAGCACAGGGCGUAGUAUACUAUUAGCUGGAAGAGAAGAAAAAAGGCCCAUUGCGCCAGUCCCUUUUCCAAUGAAUAGAAGAGAAGGAUGGCAAAAGGAAGAACGUCCGAUGGAAGACAAGGGCAUAGUAUACAAUUAGCUGGAAGAGAAGAAAAAAGGCCCAUUACACCAGUCCCUUUUCCAAUGAAUAAAAGAGAAGGAUGGAAAAAGGAAGAACGCCGAUGGAAGACAAAAAAGAAAGAAAAAAAAAGUGGAACCAUGAUGAAUAAAAGACCCUCGAGACUUACGAGGUUCAUUAGAAACAGGGUCGCUAUCACAGAAUAAAAAGCGCUAAUGAUCAUAAGCCACUUCGACUCUUUCCCCUGUCAUGUCAGAAUUCAAAAAAAGUGUUAUCAAAUUGGGGAACACCCCCCCCCCCCCCCCUGUAUCGAAUUCUUUUAGUAUCCAGCCUGCUCUCUUUGUUCAGUCGGAAGACUUUUCUUUUGAAAAAGACUUUUUAGUCCCGUCUAACAAGAGAGGUAAAGCCUUUCUAUUCAAAUGAGACGCACUCCCAUUGUCUCGCUAAGGUCAGCAGCAGGACAUAGAGCAGGGAUUGAGUAGUCUUGGGAGGCGGACUUAUAUUCCCCAGUUAGGAGUUGACGACGUUUUCACUACUCAAACUUGAAAAAGUCUUUUACACCUUCGGGAAAGCAUAGUGGAAGACCCAACUUUUGCUUAAAAUCCCAGUUUUGAAGCGAGAGUUAGGCUCGAUUUAAAUUCAUACUAAAAAAUAGGUGAAUAGUUGAUAGAAGAUGGGGUCAAGCUAAAGGCAGAGCUUGAAUUGGAUUUUCCACUUGUAAAUCCGUUAGAAAAGUUGUACCUUGACAAGCCCCACGAUGCUUCUGCCAGCCCUCAUCGCAGGGACGAAGAGAUUCCCAAGACCAUAACUAUAGACUCAUUCUGCACCAGCCCACUAGCAAAACAAAAGGCAAGGAACUUCUUUGACUAGUAUAGUAUCGGGAACAUGCCUAGAAGAGGAUUUCAGAAUUCCAGAGGCGCGCAAACAAAAAAAACAAAACGCAAGGAACUUCUUUAACUUGUAUAUUAUAGGGAACAUACCUAGAAGAGGAUUUCAGAAUUCUAGAGGCGCGCAAACAAUGCCAUGCUUACUUCAUCUUCCCUUCAUGCUUAUACACCUGCUGGACUGUCUAUCCUUUCUUGCUUUUGACUAGAUUGAUUAUAUGAUCCAAGAGCUUAAACUAAGAGGCCAAUACUUCAAGGAACGAACUUGCAGGCCUUAUCUUAUACCUUACCUCAACUAAAAAAGCUAACGAGAAUGUCGAUUCCAUGCCUUAAGGCUGACUGACGCUUCCCUCUUUCCUGGUCUCCAUUACCCUUCUCCCGAAAAUGCGACCUUAACUAAAAAAGCUAACGAGAAUGUCGAUUUCAUGCCAUAAGGCUGACUGACGCUUCCAUCUUUCCUGGUCUCCAUUACCCUUCUCUCGAAAAUGAUUUUUCAUCGCUCUGAACUCAUCAAGUGGAAUAGUUAAUUACGUUUAACAAUCUUCAGCAGCUUCAAGGUAAAGAUGCAAUUUGCAUGAUCCAAGGCAUUCCCUGCAAAAGGCUGUUGGAAGUCUCGUUCUCGAUCACGGAGCAAAUUACUUCUGUCUUAAGAUCUGCAAUCUGGCACUUGAGGCGAAUCUUGCCCAUAGCUUUCUGAGACUCAACGUUGUACCCUGGGUCUUAAUGCUGUUCAGGUUCCUGGUGGGAAUCCCGAGCUUCCUUACCGUUUUUAGGGGUAUAACAUUUAUAGCUGACCCCGGAUCUACAUGCACUUGUUGGAGUUUUACUUCACCAAUAUAUCCUGAAAGGUACAGUGGACGAUUAUGGCGAAGGUCCCCUAUCAACAAAAAAGUCUUCUCGAGAAAAUGUGAGGUCUGGCUCCUCCGCCUUCAUCUUCUCUUGUAUGCCUCGGUUCUCUUCUUGAGGUACAUCAUUCACCUCUAUCUGGUGUACAUGGGGUGCAUACUUAUCGGCUUCUGAUAGAGCCUUGACACUUGUCGGAUGUCAGGUGACAACCUCAACAAGGUAAUUCUAGCUGGUACAUUAGCUAGUUGUGCUAACAAAUCAUAAUCGAAAGGCUCAUCUAAGCCGGGCAAUGCUUUCUUCUUCACCCUAGAGUUUACAUUCUACCGUCUCGGGAAAUUUUCGGUGGUAAUCAAGCCCGGUCGAAAGGCUCAUAUAAGCCGGGCAAUGCUUUCUUCUUCACCCUAGAGUUUACAUUCUACCGUCUCGGGAUAUUUUUGGUGGUAAUCAAGCCCGGAGCGGGUUCUGUCUACAUCAUUUAGACUGACUAGGGUCGGUGUCUCUCUCUUCAGAAUCAGACUUUGAAGCCAAGAUGGAUAUGGCACACUUACCAUGUUAGAGGACUGUACAAGUGACAUAGGCAAGCAAUCUCCAAGUGUCAUAGGGGUUCUUGCAGUGCCCCCGGACUGAGGAACCGUACAAGACUUUUCGACCAAAGGACAAGUCUGUUCCUGCUUCGUUUUCGGUUCCCGAUUCAAUUGAUUCUAGCAGUGCCCCCAGACUAAGGAACCAUACAAGACUUUUCGACCAAAGGACAAUUCUGUUCCUGAUUUUUUUUCGGUUCCCGAUUCAAUCUUCACCUUUCCUGAAUGAAGAAAGAGAGUGAAAGAGAAUAUAUUAGUGCAAUAGGUACAGAGGUAUGAGAAACAGUCUUCGUUCAGUUUUGUAGAAGAAAGCCGAGAAAACAAAUAGGAAGAGCACUAUGCAAGCUUAUAAUUAAGCAAAUAUAUAAAAGCUAUCACCACCUCAAGCAGUAAAACAAAGUCGUUAUGGCUAUGUUACUAACAUAGACAACUAUGAAUGGUAUUCAUUGACAGGAGUGACCGCUUUUCAGCUCAAGGAGUAAAACAAAGUCGUUAUGGCUAUGUUACAAACAUAGACAACUAUGAAUGGUAUUCAUUGACUAGAGUGACCGCUUUCUAGUCGUAGUUGGUACCGCCCCUGUUCACUUCAACAUGCAAGGAAUACCUUCGAGAAGAAUCAAAGUUUUUCUCCUCUGCAAAGCUAUUAAUGCUUUAUUCAAGAUCAUUAGCAGCCUAUUGUUCAUUCUCGCUCCCCAGUGGUUUUCGAAAGCUCGACAUGAAAGAAUAAAGAAAAUAGGAAAAAUGAGUACCGAGAUAUUUAGCUAUUUAGCCUUAAAGAAAGGUGACUUGGUAAGACUAGAAUCUGGAACAGAGAUUGGAUGAUGAAUUGCUUUCUCUUUAGCAGGAAUUGCGCCACCUUUUUAUUUAGCAACUUCCGCCCCGCUUAAUAGUAAUAGCAUUCACUUACCGACCGGUGAAAGGAAAGAGCGGCGUCAGCCAUCGACAAAGGAAUACCAGCUCUACCCGUGUGAGGCCUUGUAGCCAGAGAGAACCAUAGAAUCGGAAGGUUAUAUUAGAACAUCAGUGGAAAAGUCAAGAGGUAAUCUAAAAAUAGCUUUAGAAGCCAGAUUAGGAAAGUGUUUCCCGAGUUCGAGCAAAUGAAAUGCGACAUCCAGGCAACAAAGGGCUGUUGUCCGAUCUGCGCAUACAUCACUAAAGAAGAUAAGAAUCCACAUAUAUGGGGGAACACAUCAAAGGCCCAUGUUAUGGAAGUAGCAGAGUGCAACCGACAUUAUAAAGCAGCUUGCGGGACAAAAUUCGUGGCCGGAAGUGUUCAGGCACGAAGAGCUUAAGCAUAUUGUUCUACAAAGGUACCCGAUCAUGAAGGGCUCCUAUGAGGACAUACAAGUCCUCGAACUAAUGGAAGCAGGACCAUAAUAGAAAGAAAAGUAUAUGGAAGAAAAAGAAUGUUCCAGUUGUUAUGAUAGAGAAUGAACUACCAGAGUGCGUUGCUGCGAAUGGGCCUUUCCACGAGAGAUUCAUGGUCUUACACUUCCGCGAAAGGGUAAAUGAUCUCCAAGAAGAGAGGGUGGUAGCCACUUUAUGGGGCUGCAUACAACGAAGAAUGGAGAGAAUGAACCUAGAGAAAGGAAGUAAUCCCCAAGUGAAGAUGAAAUUCAAUGAUGAUGUCCUUAGGAUAAAAUAUAAAAAAGGAAGUGAGGACCCAAGUGAAGAUGAACUUCAAUGAUGAUGUCCUUAGGAUAUAAUAUAAAAAAGGAAGUGAGGACAGAACAAAUCAUCGUGCAGAAACCUGGAGCUCAGGAGAACAGAUGCUUGUGCAGGAAGGCACGGGAAGGCUCAUCAUAAAAAAUAAGUAAGAAAAGGCUGAAGGAGGACUGGGGAGCCUCUCGAAGUCUCCGAUCUCACAGAUGGUUAGGCUGCAAUUCCUUCACUUGUGAAGAAGCUUAGCUAGUUCUCGUUCCUCGGACAUUCUGUUCGCCUGCCCCUGCUUCAAGAUUGAAGUUUUCACCAGAAAUCUCUGUUAAAAAAAAAAAGAACGUUGUAGCGAGAUCGCAUAGGUCCAACAUAAUCCUCCUAACAGGCAGCCAAAGAUGGGUGAGGAUCAAUUAGUUAGCUAACGAAGUUGAUGUUGAAGUAGAAAGAAGGCUAACAAAUAGGAUCGGAGUCGGGGAAUUCUAACUCUUAACUUGCUCCUGCGACUUCCUUUUCAUUUGGUAGGCCAUGCCAAUGAGAUCUCAUGAGAGCUUUGAAUCAGUAAGCUCAUAUUCUAGGGUUCAAUUAGCGCCUACUUCAGGGGAGGGAAUUCACCCCAAAGCGGAUUAUGUUCGCUCUGCUCCUCUUGAUUCUGUUGUUCUAGACAAAAAGAUGAGAGUUUUUAAAGGUAUCCAGUUAGACCCCCGGGUAAAUGAUAUCUAUCCAUUUUAGCCACCCUUUCCAUUACUGAUCUAGUUGCUCUUGCUAUCUAACCCGCCACUUUAUUAUAUGAUCUUUUAUUGACUUCAAAAAGUCAAUUUUUUUUCUUUUUCUCGGGCCGACUUCAUACAUUCUAUUACUUAUAGAAAUAGUCAUGCCAAUCUUCUCGGUAAAUUAUGAUCUUUUAUUGACUUCAAAAAGUAAAUUUUUUUCUUUUUCUGGGGCCGACUUCAUACAUUCUAUUACUUAUAGAAAUAGUCGUGCCAAUCUUCUCGGUAAAGAAGAACACUUCCGCACGAUCUUAAGAGAGAGUAGUUCCACAAGAGCCUUAUCACGAGCCUUUACUUGAUGAAAGGCGCCCUGUAAGAUGCGCUAUAUCGACAAGGCGAGGAGAAAGCAGCCUAAUGGGAAUAGCUCCAAACCAAAGCAGCCCUCCAUCUCGCAUAUAGAAAUGGUUGACAGGCAUACCUAUUCAUGAUAUCGAAUAGGAAUGAUCAUUAUCAGGGGAUACAGAUAUGCCAUGCUAGGAUGAGCUAGGCUUGGAGGAGAAAGCAGCCUAAUGGGAAGAGCUCCAAACCAAAGCAGCCCUCCAUCUCGCAUAUAGAAAUGGUUUACAGGCAUACCUAUUCAUGAUAUCGAAUAGGAAAGAUCAUUAUAAGGGGAUACCGAUAUGCCAUGCUAGGAUGAGUUAGGCUUUCAACAGCAUAAGCCACCUCCCAAGCGGCUUCCCUCCAGUGCCUUUGACUAUUGCUACGGUCAUCAACCGCAGCAUUGAAUUGAGACUUUCCACCUUGCUUUGGACUUGAAUGGAUCUACUUCUCCUCUGCCAGAUCGAUCUUCAUUAAGGGGGUCAACCCAAGCUAUUGCUCUACCUCCUCUCCUUAUGUUAUAGUAGAUUUUGAAUUCCUAUUGGAUUUCUUACUCCAGAAAAAAGAGAGAAAUCAACAAUAAUGCGCACACGUGAAAAGGCUUACCCCGCAGGCUGACUCUUCCAAUCCAACUCUAUCGAAGGAGAAAAAAAGCUGGGACUACGACUUGCUUAGUGCAGGGCUGCUUGUCGUGAUUGGUUGGACACUCUCUUCGUCUAAGGUCUUAGCUUGGUCACUCUAUUAAGCUUUCCCAGCAAGUCUAUUGAAUGGGGUACGAAACUUGCUUAGUGCCAGGCUUCUUGUCGUGAUUGGUUGGACACUCUUUUCGUCUAAGGUUUUAGCUUGGUCACUUUAUUAUGCUUUCCCAGCAAGUCUAUUGAAUGGGGUACAAAAGAUUGCUAUUCAAAGUAUCGUUAAGAGUUCUGUUUUCUAGGGAGUAGUCAAGAUAAGAUGACUCUGAUAUUUCCUUCUAUGGAGCCGGAUGUGAGAUUAUCGCCUACUGAUCUUACUCAAAAAGAAUCAAUGGGAGUAGACACAUCAAUAGCAGCAGACGCAGAGGAAGAAAUCUGUGCUCUUUGGGCUAAGAUGCUGACUUUGCCGUGGAAAGAGUAAUGAGAGGAAAGCCUUGACCUUGCCUUGUUCUACCCUUCGAACUCGGAGAUUGAAGAAUAUCACUCUAUACAGCGACAGAGGCAAGAUCUCUACAUGUUGAUAGAUACCCGAGAGACUGAGUUCUUGGGGGAGAGAGAAAGGAGGCAUUACUCCCAGAAAACGUGCAACCAACCUUUCCUUCCCGCUUCUUCCUUGAGAAGAGAAGGUAGGGGCUCUGUUUCCGCAUCCGUUCCAUAUCAGUAUUCAUUGUUAAGAUCUCCCGGUAGAAUCGAAUGGUAACUGAAUCAUUCCAAUAGUGGGGGCUCUGUUUCCGCAUCCAUCCAUUCAGUAUUCAUUGUUAAGAUUUCCCAGUAGAAUCGAAUGGUAACUGAAUCAUUCUAAUAGUUCCGAACAAGUCCUGCAUGGGCUGUUUGUCGAAUGAGUUUGCAUUCUUCAAUCCAAUCUUUAAACUUCUGACAUCUAGAAUAACUUGCUGGAUCACCCCUCUAUUAACCUUUCGUUCCUAUAUGCAUCGGCCUUUUCUAAAUCGACAUAUCUAGGUUCCCAUAUUCAAAGGCUUGACAGGAGAGCUUUUCCUAGCCCUAUUGUCUUUCUCCGUCAAAAAUUUUUCCAAAUCAAAUGAUUCAAGACCUGAACUGAAAGAGACUCUACAAACAAAGCUUUCCGACUCGGCCUUGAGAAGCUUGUAUCCUUUGGAUUCUUGGGACCUAAUGAGCCAGGACAACCUAUACCGAAGGAGAGAAAUUCAUACCCUGCCGAUUUCUAGGGCAUUCGUUGGUUGGAUGUUAAUGCCCUUGCCCCCACGCCAGCUUGCUCUCUCAUCCCUCCCACCUUUGCCUAUACCUAGGAUUCCCAUUUGGUUCGGCUGUAGUUUCAUAGAUCUACAUGGGAAUCUUCGUCAGAUCGAUCAUGCAGUUACGGCCAAUCAAGCAGAGAUCGAUUGGCCUACCAGAGAGCUGACAUUAGAAGACUGACACCCACAGCACCAACAAAGCUGGACGACAUACGAUCAAAAGUUCGGGAUGAUGUGAAGCUGACAUUAGAAGACUUACACACACAGCACCAACAAAGCUAGACGACAUACGAUCAAAUGUUCGAGAUGAUGUGAUCCAAGUCAACCUAGAGGCAAAGCAGUUCCUUGAGUUUUUUUUUUCUGAGUGUUGAAACGAUAGAUUUUUCUUUUGCCAAUGAAUUGGAUCCACCCUGAUUCGAUCAAUAAUGGGAUUUUUGGCUAGAGAAAGGUUCUGUGACUUGGACGCCCAGCCCAACUUGGUCGGUCGGUUGGCCCACCUAACAGAUGAUGAGAUUCUCGAUCGAUUUGAUCAAAUUUCAAAAAGUCAUUCUCACUAUUCAGAAAGUUGGAGCUUUCGAUCAAGAUCUUCUCAUCUCACCCGUUUGGGCUAUUGCUCGAAUCGGAACCUUUAUGUGUUGGUAGGAUUUUGACUCAAUCUAAUAGCCUAACUAUCGGGCGCCAAUAAAAGAGAAAGUUUUCGCAUGGGCUCAUCGUCUGAUGCAGAACCUAUAGGUUUGCCUACUUUACUUAUAAAAGAUAAUGAGAAUGGGUUAUUCAAACAAAAAGGAAAAUGCCCUACUUAGUUGACUGACAAUGACAAAGGCUUGCGAAACUAAGUAAGGCCUGAGGCCCCCUGCGAAUCCGUAAAUCUGAGGUGUAUGCCACAACAAAAGGAUGGUCACCUUUGCAUUUUAUUUUUUCCUUAAGGGAAAAAAAGUACCCCCAUCAUAGUGAACCUCUCCUUGUGAUCGUGAUGAGGUAGAUGCCUCCCAGCCGGGGGGCGGAACGAAUCGGAGUUUUGUUAGGUAGCCACCGACCUACAUUUAUCCUUAAACUUCCGUGCUUGGUGGAGAAGAAGCGAACAAAAGUACGCUGGCUUGCUAUCUUGUUCUCAGUCACGAACUGGGAUCGCUCGCCAGCUAGGUUAGAUUGGGGCAAUAUUUAAUGAGAACAUAUUCCCCAUAUUCGGGGACAAGGGGCGGAACGACCUCUCGAUCUACUUACUGCAGCCCAGGAAGAAAAACGUCGUCUAGGCGUUCCCUGUUGCUCCGAUCUCCCCUACGCCUAGGACGUUGUCUGGGCCAAGAGCCAUAAUAGGAAGAAAAAUGUCGUCUAGGCGUUCCCUGUUGCUCCGAUCUCCACUACGCCUAGGACGUUAUCUGGGCCAAGAGCCAUAGUUACUUGUUGUUUCCAUUUGGUUAUUUCUUCCUUGUUGUUGAUACCGGCAAGACCCAGCCAGAUGAUGUCUGCUGGUUGGUAGUGAGAGGACUCUUAGUACUUGCAUACCCAAAAGAGGGCGCUGGUUAAAAAACAAUCAUUUUAUUUUAUUUUCUUUCUCUCCCUUAUCAGCGGGAAAGGAGUAUAUCUAUCUGCCUAGCUUUGGUAGAUUUCCCCCAACGCAAUCCACAGAAAUUCCACGAAUCCCUUGGUGGAUAAGUCCGACGACUCAGCAGCAGUGCGGAAUUGAGUUUCUUGUCUGGUGGAUCUGAUCUAUAGUUAGGGGGCAAUACAUACCAAAAGGUUCGAAGAAGGAAGGCGCAUAAGAGUAUAUAACCAACCUACUUCUGGUGGAUCUGAUCUAUAGUAUGGGGCAAUACAUACCAAAAUGUUUGAAGAAGGAAGGCACAUAAGAGUAUAUAACCAACCUACCCUUGUAUAUAACCUAUUCAUAUUAGUGAAGCGGUUGGAUGCAUAAGGGAAGUGCACCUUUGUGAGACCUUAGUUGGGAUGCAUAGGUGAGUCAACCUACGAGCACGGAAGAGCAUGGUACUGAUACCCCUCUCUAAGUAAAGGUAAGAUUCUUACCCCUGUAGAUGACUCCAUCAAAAAUACAAUAGGGACAACCAUUUUUGGCUGCGCGUUUCGUAUCUUGAAGAAAGAGUAGGCUUAAGUAAUUUUAUAGGGGUCAGGUCAAUAAUACCUAUGCUAUUGCCCUACUAAGGGAAUCUCACCAGUUCUUGGAAUAAGAGCUCUGGGACUUCAUGGCUUUGAGGGAGGUUUAGCCUAGCCCUAAGCCUUUUCGGAAUAGAAUGCUUCUUUGACAGAGCUUCAAGCAAGAAGGAGGAAGGCCCUCUUUUCGCCAAUGGAUCACUUAGUCGGAAUAAGCGGGCUUAGGUUGAUGCACGAAAUAUAAUUCUUCUUCGACAGAGCUUUAUGCAAGAAAGAGGAAGGCCCUCUUUUCGCCAAAGGAUCACUUAGUCGGAAUAAGCGGGCAUAGGUUGAUGCGGAAUAAGCCAUUUUUCCCAUGUUUCCAUGGAAAGGUGUCGAAGGAAUAGGCACAUUUAGAGCUGUGGGACUUGAAGGAAUAGAAUGCCCCGUUAGAAUGGGCAGGGACAGUCGAUCAUUGGCUUAAUUUCCUGGGGGACUCUAGUAUCAAAAAUUCCCGGUAUUUCGUCGUGAAAGUGUCACAUUUAGAUUGUUCUUAUUAAAGGAAAGAGCCGAAUAGACAAAGGGUUUACAUGAGUUUAGAAUGGGCAGGGACAGUCGAUCGUCGGCUUAAUUUCUUGGAGGACUCUAGUAUCAAAAAUUCUUCGUAUUUCAUCAUGAAAGUGUCACAUUUAGAUUGUUCUUAUUAAAGGAAAGAGCCGAAUAGACAAAGGGUUUACAUGACCGCUCGCUUUGGACAAGAUGCCAUAGUAUAAGAAGAAGGCCUUUGUUUGCAAAGAUGACUAAGAGCCGAAUAGACAAAGGGUUUACAUGACCGCUCGCUUUGGACAAGAUGCCAUUGUAUAAGAAGAAGGCCUUCGUUUGUAAAGAUGACUUUCCCGCUUUCCUUUGUGAGGGAGGUUUGUGCACAUGAAUUAAUAGUCAAAGUAUAAGGAAGAUGGCAUAGAGCAUAGAAUGAUAUUGAUGCUUCGAAUGCCCAGUUUUUAGGGGUUGUGAUAGAAGGAGAUGUGGC